Molecule: ribosomal RNA, 73 nt
Filed under: Clostridioides difficile
Lineage: Bacteria; Bacillati; Bacillota; Clostridia; Peptostreptococcales; Peptostreptococcaceae
Description: partial 23S ribosomal RNA
Rfam family: Bacterial large subunit ribosomal RNA
Source: RNAcentral
UUGAUAGGUCGAAGGUGUAAGUGCAGCAAUGUAUUUAGCUUAUCGAUACUAAUAGGUCGAGGACUUGACCAAA